This 321-nucleotide ribosomal RNA is filed under the name Triticum aestivum (bread wheat). RNAcentral describes it as "partial small subunit ribosomal RNA". The record is from RNAcentral. Lineage: Eukaryota; Viridiplantae; Streptophyta; Magnoliopsida; Poales; Poaceae.
AUGGCAGCAGCACCACCGCCGGCGCUCCCGGACGAUCUCAUCGAAGAGAUCUUCCUCCGCCUCCCGCCGGACGACCCGGCAAGCCUCCUCUGUGCCUCUCUCGUCUGCAAGACCUGGAGCCACAUCGCCAAGGUGAAGCUCAAGCGCGCCCUGCUGCAGGGGCAGCUUAAGCGUGCCCAGCUGCAGCUGCUCAAGAACGCCCAGCUGCAGCUGCAGCUCGAGAAGGAGCAGCUCAAGGUCAUCCAGCUACAGGAGGAGCUCAAUCAGCUGCUGCAGAGGAGGUCAGCCAGCAGCAGCUCAAGCGCGCCAGCUUGGCGUUAG